Molecule: ribosomal RNA, 497 nt
Filed under: uncultured bacterium
Lineage: Bacteria
Description: partial 16S ribosomal RNA
Rfam family: Bacterial small subunit ribosomal RNA
Source: RNAcentral
UCUUCCCUCUUUCUUCGUGCCUAAUACAUGCAAGUCGAGCGAACAGACGAGGAGCUUGCUCCUCUGACGUUAGCGGCGGACGGGUGAGUAACACGUGGAUAACCUACCUAUAAGACUGGGAUAACUUCGGGAAACCGGAGCUAAUACCGGAUAAUAUAUUGAACCGCAUGGUUCAAUAGUGAAAGACGGUUUUGCUGUCACUUAUAGAUGGAUCCGCGCCGCAUUAGCUAGUUGGUAAGGUAACGGCUUACCAAGGCAACGAUGCGUAGCCGACCUGAGAGGGUGAUCGGCCACACUGGAACUGAAACACGGUCCAGACUCCUACGGGAGGCAGCAGUAGGGAAUCUUCCGCAAUGGGCGAAAGCCUGACGGAGCAACGCCGCGUGAGUGAUGAAGGUCUUCGGAUCGUAAAACUCUGUUAUUAGGGAAGAACAAAUGUGUAAGUAACUAUGCACGUCUUGACGGUACCUAAUCAGAAAGCCACGGCUAACUACGUG